RNAcentral lists this long non-coding RNA (2809 nucleotides) under Salmo salar (Atlantic salmon). RNAcentral describes it as "lncRNA (ENSSSAG00000098846.1)". The record is from RNAcentral. Lineage: Eukaryota; Metazoa; Chordata; Actinopteri; Salmoniformes; Salmonidae.
CGGACGACAUGACUGUGACGCCGCAGUAAAUGUCUAUUACCAGAAAGAUAAGGAUCUUCUUUCAAUAAUUACAAUAUAUUAUGUUUGUUUUGGAUUAACUUCUGAAAUAAAUCUUUCUUGAACCAAAUAUUUAGGUGCUACUGAUGUGGUGGAACAGAAAGUCAAGUGUUAUUGACAAUUUAUCAAACUCGAAUGGAUUUGAAAUACAUAAAAUAGUAAAAUAUAUUUCUAACUGUUUUCUAGGUAACAGCAAUUGUCUUUAAUUUGGUAAGGUUCAGUACACAUUUGGCGUUUUAGACAUUUGGACUUCUGAAGAAUACAAAAAUAUGUUUUCAUGAGUUCACUCAUGUUCUGUAGAUUGAGACUUGAGAGAAAGAGAUGGGGAGCAAUUGCUCCAAAGGGAGGAGAGAGGAGAGGGACAUUACCGCUUUCUCCAAAAAGAGAAGUUUGUCUUUGGGAAGAAAAAAGGAGUACACUGAAGGGAGGAAAGCAGAGGGCAACAGUGGAGAAACGCUCUUUCAACAAAGUCUUCCUGGCCUACAAUCCCCAGUCUCCCCAGCCUACAAUCCCCAGCCUACAAUCCCCAGUCUCCCCAGCCUACAAUCCCCAGUCUCCCCAGCCUACAAUCCCCAGUCUCCCCAGUCUACAAUCCCCAGUCCCCCCAGACCGACAAUCCCCAGUCUUCCCAGCCUACAAUCCCCAGUCUUCCCUCACAGCUGAGGGUGGAAGCAGUCUAUGUGCCCCAGUGAUCAGCAAUAAGGAAGUAGGAGGUAACAUCAACAUCACUCAGAACAACACUCAGAACAACGAUGACUCCUCCCAGGUUGCACAAUGCAGUGCCACGCUAAAAGGUGAGUUGCGUGGUGGUCUGUCUCCAGUAUCCAGAGAGACCCAGAGCGCAUCAAGGAACACACACUACCACCACAAUAUGAAGAGAAAGACAACACAAAGAAGACACAAUACAUAAUGAAUGAUAAAUACAUCUGCUUAAUGCAUUAUUAUGAUGCAUGACAUAGGAGCUAACAGGUUAUUUUGCAUUGCGUAUUAUGCAGAUGAAUGCACAUAUAAUGCAUUAUGAAGAGGGUAUUCAUAGGAGGUGUUACCAUAGGAGGUGUUACCAUAGGAGGUGUUACCAUAGCCAUAGGAGGUGUUACCAUAGGAGGUGUUACCAUAGGAGGUGUUAUCAUAGGAGGUGUUACCAUAGGAGGUGUUACCAUAGCCAUAGGAGGUGUUACCAUAGGAGGUGUUACCAUAGGAGGUGUUACCAUAGCCAUAGGUGGUGUUACCAUAGGAGGUGUUACCAUAGCCAUAGGAGGUGUUACCAUAGGAGGUGUUACCGUAGCCAUAGGAGGUGUUACCAUAGGAGGUGUUACCAUAGGAGGUGUUACCAUAGCCAUAGGAGGUGUUACCAUAGGAGGUGUUACCAUAGCCAUAGGAGGUGUUACCAUAGGAGGUGUUACCAUAGCCAUAGGAGGUGUUACCAUAGGAGGUGUUACCAUAGGAGGUGUUACCAUAGGAGGUGUUACCAUAGCCAUAGGAGGUGUUACCAUAGCCAUAGGAGGUGUUGCCAUAGGUGGUGUUACCAUUGGAGGUGUUACCAUAGGAGGUGUUACCAUAGGAGGUGUUACCAUAGCCAUAGGAGGUGUUACCAUAGGAGGUGUUACCAUAGGAGGUGUUACCAUAGCCAUAGGAGGUGUUACCAUAGGAGGUGUUACCAUAGGAGGUGUUACCAUAGCCAUAGGAGGUGUUACCAUAGGAGGUGUUACCAUAGGAGGUGUUACCAUAGGAGGUGUUUCCAUUGGAGGUGUUACCAUAGGAGGUGUUACCAUAGGAGGUGUUACCAUAGGAGGUGUUACUAUAGGGUGUGUUACCAUAGGAGGUGUUACCAUAGGAGGUGUUACUAUAGGAUGUGUUACCAUAGGAGGUGUUACUAUAGGAUGUGUUACUAUAGGAUGUGUUACUAUAGGAGGUGUUACAAUAGGAGGUGUUACCAUAGCAGAUGUUACUAUAGGAGGUGUUACCAUUGGAGGUUUUACCAUACGCAUACGACACACAAUUAACCUCUAGACGGUCGCCUAGGAUAGGGGGCGCCACAGCGCAUUUUGAAAAAAAUUAGUGCCCAUUUUCAACGACCUACUACUCAAACUCAGAAGCUAGGAUAUGCAUAUAAUUAAUACUUGUGGAUAGAAAACACCCUAAAGUUUCUAAAACUGUUUGAAUGGUGUCUGUGAGUAUAACAGAACUCAUAUGGCAGUCAAAACCCCGAGACAGAUCGAAACAGGAAGUGGAAUUCUGAAUUGCGAACUCAACUUCAUCACGUUGCCUAUUAAUCACACCGUGAGCUAUGGUUCAUUGAGCACUUCCUAUUGCUUCCAAUAGAUGUCCCCAGUCUUUACAAAGUGAUUUGAGUCUCCUACUGUGAAAACUGACAGAAUGACACGCUGUGGAACAUGGUCACACGGAGAGGGCCAUCACCAUUAUGACGCCGGCGCCCCUGGUUACCCUCCCCUUUCGAAACGUUUUGAAACACAAUGCAAUCGUCCCCCUCGAAUCUUAUUGGAGCUCUCGUUGAAAAAGGCCCUAGAGAUUUAUGUUAUACAACGUUUGACAUGUUUGAACGAACCUAAAUAAGAAAAAAAUGCAUUUUUUUGAAAGAGUAGCCCCGCGCACGUCGGAACUUUUGGUGCAGCUUUCAGAACACGCUAACAACAACAAGCUAAUGGAACAUAAAGGAUGACAUUUUUAGAACGAAAAUACAUUUGUUGUGGACCUGGGAUUCCUGGAAGUGCCUAAGGAUGAAGAUAAUCAA